GUGCUUGCACUGGUUGGAUUAGUGGCGAACGGGUGAGUAAUACGUGAGUAACCUGCCUUUGACUCUGGGAUAAGCCUUGGAAACGAGGUCUAAUACCGGAUAUGACACAGUUUCGCAUGAAAUCUGUGUGGAAAGGGUUUGUACUGGUUUUAGAUGGGCUCACGGCCUAUCAGCUUGUUGGUGGGGUAAUGGCUCACCAAGGCGACGACGGGUAGCCGGCCUGAGAGGGUGACCGGCCACACUGGGACUGAGACACGGCCCAGACUCCUACGGGAGGCAGCAGUGGGGAAUAUUGCACAAUGGGCGCAAGCCUGAUGCAGCGACGCCGCGUGAGGGAUGACGGCCUUCGGGUUGUAAACCUCUUUCAGCAGGGGAGAAGCGAAAGUGACGGUACCUGCAGAAGAAGCGCCGGCUAACUACGUGCCAGCAGCCGCGGUAAUACGUAGGGCGCGAGCGUUGUCCGGAAUUAUUGGGCGUAAAGAGCUUGUAGGCGGUUUGUCGCGUCUGCUGUGAAAGCCCGGGGCUUAACUCCGGGUUUGCAGUGGGUACGGGCUAACUAGAGUGCAGUAGGGGAGACUGGAAUUCCUGGUGUAGCGGUGGAAUGCGCAGAUAUCAGGAGGAACACCGAUUGCGAAGCAGGUCUCUGGGCUGUAACUGACGC
Molecule: ribosomal RNA, 661 nt
Filed under: Rothia terrae
Lineage: Bacteria; Bacillati; Actinomycetota; Actinomycetes; Micrococcales; Micrococcaceae
Description: bacterial SSU rRNA
Rfam family: Bacterial small subunit ribosomal RNA
Source: RNAcentral